This 223-nucleotide long non-coding RNA is filed under the name Manihot esculenta (cassava). RNAcentral describes it as "long non-coding RNA (MESC_LNC001863)". Lineage: Eukaryota; Viridiplantae; Streptophyta; Magnoliopsida; Malpighiales; Euphorbiaceae. The record is from RNAcentral.
CCCUACACACUCCCAAGUUGUGGUGAAAUCAAGGCCCAACUUCACCCAAAUCAAGCCUACCGGCUCAAGGGUCUAACAAACCACCCCCACCAGAAGAAGCCAACGUCCUCGUUGGUAGGGCUCGCAAAUAAUCCCCGAUUUGCCCUUCAAACUGCCACAAGGUCGUACCUCUCUCCCAAGUAGCCUCUGUGACUGGCUUGUCAUUCCAUUGAAUAAGGAACUC